CCCUUAGAGUUUGAUCCUGGCUCAGGAUGAACGCUGGCGGCGUGCCUAACACAUGCAAGUCGAGCGAUCUUCUUCGGAAGAGAGCGGCGGACGGGUGAGUAACGCGUGGGUAACCUGCCUCAUACACAUGGAUAACAUACCGAAAGGUAUGCUAAUACAAGAUGACAUAAGAGAUUCGCAUGGAUUUCUUAUCAAAGCUUUUGCGGUAUGAGAUGGACCCGCGUCUGAUUAGCUAGUUGGUAAGGUAAUGGCUUACCAAGGCGACGAUCAGUAGCCGACCUGAGAGGGUGAUCGGCCACAUUGGAACUGAGACACGGUCCAAACUCCUACGGGAGGCAGCAGUGGGGAAUAUUGCACAAUGGGCGAAAGCCUGAUGCAGCAACGCCGCGUGAGCGAUGAAGGCCUUCGGGUCGUAAAGCUCUGUCCUCAAGGAAGAUAAUGACGGUACUUGAGGAGGAAGCCCCGGCUAACUACGUGCCAGCAGCCGCGGUAAUACGUAGGGGGCUAGCGUUAUCCGGAUUUACUGGGCGUAAAGGGUGCGUAGGUGGUUUCUUAAGUCAGGAGUGAAAGGCUACGGCUCAACCGUAGUAAGCUCUUGAAACUGGGGAACUUGAGUGCAGGAGAGGAAAGUGGAAUUCCUAGUGUAGCGGUGAAAUGCGUAGAUAUUAGGAGGAACACCAGUAGCGAAGGCGGCUUUCUGGACUGUAACUGACACUGAGGCACGAAAGCGUGGGGAGCAAACAGGAUUAGAUACCCUGGUAGUCCACGCCGUAAACGAUGAGUACUAGGUGUCGGGGGUUACCCCCCUCGGUGCCGCAGCUAACGCAUUAAGUACUCCGCCUGGGGAGUACGCUCGCAAGAGUGAAACUCAAAGGAAUUGACGGAAGGGCGAAUUCCAG
This 899-nucleotide ribosomal RNA is filed under the name uncultured bacterium. RNAcentral describes it as "bacterial SSU rRNA". It matches the Rfam family "Bacterial small subunit ribosomal RNA", at positions 1 to 931 of the family's 1533-position model. The record is from RNAcentral.